UCACAACGUCAGAUCCAGAGCAGAAAGACUGUAUGGUAUGAAGGUUAUGGUUUUGUUGUUGUUUGUUCCAAAUCGAUCUUCUACAGGUACUUUGAAGGGUAUUUUGUUUAAUGGCACAAAGAAUUUGGAUUGAGAUGGAAGAAGGCUGAAACAUAUUUUUUUGUUAGUGAUUUUCUGUGCUUGUUGAACAAAGAUUUCAAGGUUUUUGUAUAUGACCUUUUGGGCAAGUUUGGGACAGCAAAGAUAUCGACAAUACAACAUGAUGUAUGCGGGUUUUUGGACUGACCUGUUUGGACUAAUAUGCAGGGUUAUUUCUGGUUUGGGGCAGCAGUAUGGUGGAGUUAGUUUAUGCAGAGCUUUGACUUGUUUAUGGACAGUAUGCAUAGGAAAACAGAGCAGCAACAGUAGGUUAAUGGGAUGUAAUUUUCCUCUUGUACUUUCUGGUUUCAU
Non-coding RNA from Vicia faba (fava bean), 450 nucleotides. Lineage: Eukaryota; Viridiplantae; Streptophyta; Magnoliopsida; Fabales; Fabaceae. The record is from the annotation of a GenBank genome assembly.